AGGGUCAUUACUGAACCGCUGACACGAGUUGUUGCUGGUCUCCAAACGGGGGCAUGUGCACGCUCUGUUUGUGCAUCCACUCACACCUGUGCACCUUAUGUAGUUCUGUGGCCUGGGGGACUUGUCCUCCUGCUGUGGUUCUGCGUCUUUACACUCACGCUGUGAUAAAGUCUAAUGGAAUGCAUGCCGCGUUUAACGCAAUACAAUACAACUUUCAGCAACGGAUCUCUUGGCUCUCGCAUCGAUGAAGAACGCAGCGAAAUGCGAUAAGUAAUGUGAAUUGCAGAAUUCAGUGAAUCAUCGAAUCUUUGAACGCACCUUGCGCCCUUUGGCUAUUCCGAAGGGCAUGCCUGUUUGAGUAUCAUGAACAUCUCAACUCCUCACGGUUUGCCCGCGACGAGCUUGGACUUUGGGGGUCUUGCUGGCCUGCAGGUUGGCUCCUCUCAAACGAAUCAGCUUGCCAGUGUUUGGUGGCGUCACAGGUGUGAUAACUAUCUACGCUUGUGGUUUUCCACCAGGUAACUUCCAGCAAUGGAGGUUCACUGGAGCUCACAAAUGUCUCUCCUCGGUGAGGACAGCUCUUUGAACGUUUGAUCUCAAAUCAGGUAGGACUACCCGCUGAACUUAAGCAUAUCAAUAAGCGGAGGAAAAGAAACUAACAAGGAUUCCCCUAGUAACUGCGAGUGAAGCGGGAAGAGCUCAAAUUUAAAAUCUGGCGUGCCUAUGGUCGUCCGAGUUGUAGUCUGGAGA
RNAcentral lists this ribosomal RNA (750 nucleotides) under uncultured Thelephoraceae. Its description in RNAcentral is "eukaryotic LSU rRNA". The stretch from base 210 to 364 matches the Rfam family "5.8S ribosomal RNA". Lineage: Eukaryota; Fungi; Basidiomycota; Agaricomycetes; Thelephorales; Thelephoraceae. The record is from RNAcentral.